AUGUCCCCAGACACCCUCAUCCAUCCACGUCCCGGGACACCCUCAUCCACACCCCGGAAGACCCUCAUCCACAUCCCGGGACACCCUCAUCCACGCCCCGGAACACCUUCAUCCACGCCCCGGAAGACCCUCAUCCACGUCCCGGAACACCCUCAUCCACGUCCCGGAACACCCUCAUCCACGUCCCCGAACACCCUCAUCCACGUCCCGGGACACCCUCAUCCACGUCCCGGAACACCCUCAUCCACGUCCCCGGACACCCUCAUUCACGCCCCCGAACACCCUCAUCCACGUCCCCGGACACCCUCAUCCACGUCCCGGGACACCCUCAUCCACGUCCCCAGACACCCUCAUCCACGUCCCCGGACACCCUCAUCCACGCCCUGGAAGACCCUCAUCCAUCCACGUCCCGGGACACCCUCAUCCACACCCUGGAAGACCCUCAUCCACAUCCCGGGACACCCUCAUCCACGCCCCGGAAGACCCUCAUCCACGUCCCCAGACACCCUCAUCCAUGUCCCCAGACACCCUCAUCCAUCCACGUCCCGGGACACCCUCAUCCACACCCCGGAAGACCCUCAUCCACAUCCCAGGACACCCUCAUCCACGCCCCGGAACACCUUCAUCCACGCCCCGGAAGACCCUCAUCCACGUCCCGGAACACCCUCAUCCACGUCCCCGAACACCCUCAUCCACGUCCCCGAACACCCUCAUCCACGUCCCGGGACACCCUCAUCCACACCCUGGAAGACCCUCAUCCACAUCCCGGGACACCCUCAUCCACGCCCUCAUCCACGCCCCGGGACACCCUCAUCCACGCCCCGGAAGACCCUCAUCCACAUCCCGGGACACCCUCAUCCACGCCCCGGAACACCUUCAUCCAUGCCCCGGAAGACCCUCAUCCACGUCCCGGAACACCCUCAUCCACGUCCCCGAACACCCUCAUCCACAUCCCGGAACACCCUCAUCCACGUCCCGGGACACCCUCAUCCACGCCCCGGACACCCUCAUCCACGUCCCGGACACCCUCAUCCACGUCCCGGAACACUCUCAUCCACGUCCCCGGAAGACCCUCAUCCACGUCCCCGAACACCCUCAUCCACGUCCCGGGACACCCUCAUCCACGUCCCGGAACACCCUCAUCCACGCCCCGGACACCCUCAUCCACGUCCCGGAACACCCUCAUCCACGUCCCGGAACACCCUCAUCCACGUCCCGGAACACCCUCAUCCACGCCCCCGAACACCCUCAUCCACAUCCCGGAACACCCUCAUCCACGUCCCCGAACACCCUCAUCCACAUCCCGGAAGACCCUCAUCCACGUCCCCGAACACCCUCAUCCACACCCCGGAACACCCUCAUCCACGUCCCCGAACACCUUCAUCCACGUCCCGGAACACCCUCAUCCACGUCCCAGAACACCCUCAUCCACACCCCGGAACACCCUCAUCCAUGGCCCGGAACACCCUCAUCCACACCCCAGAACACCCUCAUCCAUGGCCCGGAACACCCUCAUCCACACCCCGGAACACCCUCAUCCACGUCCUCAUUGCGCCAAAGUGUCUUCCGUUGGUCUUUCCAUGA
This 1584-nucleotide long non-coding RNA is filed under the name Callithrix jacchus (white-tufted-ear marmoset). RNAcentral's name for it is "lncRNA (ENSCJAG00000070179.1)". The record is from RNAcentral. Lineage: Eukaryota; Metazoa; Chordata; Mammalia; Primates; Cebidae.